This 433-nucleotide ribosomal RNA is filed under the name uncultured bacterium. RNAcentral describes it as "partial 16S ribosomal RNA". It matches the Rfam family "Bacterial small subunit ribosomal RNA", at positions 29 to 507 of the family's 1533-position model. The record is from RNAcentral.
AACGAACGCUGGCGGCAGGCCUAACACAUGCAAGUCGAGCGAGGACUUCGGUCCUAGCGGCUGACGGGUGAGUAACGCGUGGGAACGUGCCCUUUGCUUCGGAAUAGCCCUGGGAAACUGGGAGUAAUACCGGAUGAGCCCUUUGGGGGAAAGAUUUAUCGGCGAAGGAUCGGCCCGCGUUGGAUUAGGUAGUUGGUGGGGUAAUGGCCUACCAAGCCGACGAUCCAUAGCUGGUUUGAGAGGAUGAUCAGCCACACUGGGACUGAGACACGGCCCAGACUCCUACGGGAAGCAGCAGUGGGGAAUCUUAGACAAUGGGGGAAACCCUGAUCUAGCCAUGCCGCGUGAGCGAUGAAGGCCUUAGGGUUGUAAAGCUCUUUCAGCUGGGAAGAUAAUGACGGUACCAGCAGAAGAAGCCCCGGCUAACUCCGUG